Cherax quadricarinatus is the source of this 6569-nucleotide non-coding RNA. NCBI's taxonomy places the organism in Eukaryota, Metazoa, Arthropoda, Malacostraca, Decapoda, Parastacidae. The record is from RefSeq and is a predicted model, not a curated record.
UUUCAUUUCUUCUCUUGGUUUCUAUGUUUACUUGUGGCCCAGGAGGAUAUCAGUCACCUCGUCUACCAUCUCCAACCUCUAAACUGAUGUGGCUGUCAUAACUCAUACAAGUUACAGAAGACCCCAUUCAUACAUAGACAAGACAAUUGUACUGCAUAAACAAGGCAAUUGUGCUACAUACGCAAGAGUGUGUAGCGCUCAUGUCCUGUAGAACAAAUUCACGAGGAAAAUGCUGCGAGAUCUCACAACAGUGUUAGUCGGUGGGUCGCGAGGCUUGCCACCUACUCUCGCUUUCCUCUUCAAGCUGGCCUGGGCAUCAAGAGUGCGUCUGCCCCUCUUAAUUGCCAUCGGAUUCAUGGUCACCAAUAUCCACUUGCGACUAGAGAUCAAUGUCAACAUAGAGGUUGGUGAGGAGGAGGGUCAGCCAGACCAGCAGGUACAACAGGGAGAACAGCAAGCAUAGAUGAUGUGGUUGUGGAGGUUGAGUCCUGGCUCCUGGCCCUGUCUCUCAUCUGUACAUAGUGAACCUUUACCAAGAGAUGAGCAUGGGGUGUACCAUGGGUCAAUUCCCAGCAUGGGUGGAAAUGUUGGACAUAUUUCCCUUACUCCUGUUGCUCCUGUUCAUAUAACAGUAAGUAGGUACCCAGGUGUUAAUUGACUGUUGUGGGUGGUGAUCCAUGGGUGUUAGUAUACCAUAGGUAAGAGUUUUACAGGGAGUUUAGAUACGACUCUCUGACCGUGAGUUCAAGCCCCACCUGUGGUAUGGUUUGAGUUUAGAUAGUUUUACAGGAUGCUUAGACUGGGCUUUGAUAUGAGUUAUGGUUAGGUUAACAGCUCUCAGCCUGUAAAUUCAAGUGUAUAAAAAAAAAUAACUAGCCACUUUGGCAGAUUAACUUAAAAAAAAAUCAAUAUACAGUGGACCCCCGGUUAACGAUAUUUUUUCACUCCAGAAGUAUGUUCAGGUGCCAGUACUGACCGAAUUUGUUCCCAUAAGAAAUAUUGUGAAGUAGAUUAGUCCAUUUCAGACCCCCAAACAUACACGUACAAACGCACUUACAUAAAUACACUUACAUAAUUGGUCGCAUUCGGAGGUAAUCGUUAUGCAGGGGUCCACUGUAUAAAUUUAAUAUGUUAAGAGAUACAUUUUUUACUGUCAUUAUUUACUAAAUACUAAGUUGUAUAGAAAAUUUCUAAAUUUACACAAAUUAAAAAAUUGACUUUUUUUUUCAUGGCACGUAAUAAAGGACACAAUUUUGGUCUGAAGUCCUCUGUGUUUUGGUCCAUACUCUGGGGCCUUAAGAUAGGAUUUUAUUGGGAUUUUUAACCCCAGAGGGUUAUCCAGCCAGGAUAACCUGAGAAAGUCAUUGUGUCAUUGAGGGACUCUUAUUUCCACUUGGGUCCUUAAAUCUUGUCCCCUAGGAUGUGACCCACACCAGUCGGCUAACACCCAGGUACCUACUUGCUUGUUAGGUGAGCAGGACAACAGGUGUAAGAAAACACAGUGUUUCCACCUUUGCUGGGGAUCGAACCAUGGACUCUGUGUGAGGUGAACGUUGCCUACCAGGCCACGGGCCACCAAUACCAAUACCUUAUGAAACACUGGUUCCUUCAUAUGGGUAUGUAAUGGUGGGAGGUAUAUACACACACUGGUAAGAAGGUACAAAGGCAGUUAUAUGAAAUCUUUGUCGAUGAUUCACCCAUUCAGGGGCUCCACUGUAUGGGUGAAAUGUUGUCAAUAAAGAUUCCAUAUACAAGCAGGCUCCACUUAUACAGCAGGUUAGGUUCCGGGCUACCGCUGUAAAGUGAAAAUCCCUGUAAAGUGAAUCAGUCCUUUAUCACUUUCAUAUGCAUAUAAAAGCCUGAUUAUAUGUUUACACUGUCAUAUAUUAAGUGAGCUGAGCCUAAAAAAUGCUUAUACAGUAUGCACCUUACAGCCUCUCCUCACUUUACUGACAACUCGGACUUACAAUGGGCUCUCUGACCAGUAUACAUACUUAAAUAAUGUAUAUUAGUGCUGAUUGUCUCUAUUCUGUUUAUUACAGUAUACAGUACACUACUGCAUGAACAUUUAAAAAUAUACUAAAAAUUUUAUAAAUCGUGCAAAGGUGACAUUAAAACAAUAACAAAGAUGGUUGACACAAACCCACUACCAUUAUAGUAUGUUCCUUGCUUAGUGACGAAUUCGUUUACCAACGUGGUCUUAGGAAUGAAACUCCGUCGUUAAGUGAGGAGAGGUUGUACUUGCCUAAAAAUAUUUUCAUUCUUAGUUUAUAGUGAGUGGUGAAUAUGUUCAUUGUAGAAAGUCUGAAUAAAUGAAGAAUGUGUAUAAUUGAAAACCACUGCAUUAGCAAAACACCAUAAAGCAAAGCGUUGUAAAGUAGGGCCCUCCUGUACAGUGGACCCCCGGUUUACGAUCAGCUCCCAAUGCGACCAAUUAUGUAAGUGUAUUUAUGUAAGUGCGUUUGUACGUGUAUGUUUGGGGGUCUGAAAUGGACUAAUCUAAUUCACAAUAUUCCUUUUGGGAACAAAUUCGUUCAGUAAUGGCACCUGAACAUUCUUCUGGAAUGAAAUAAUAUCGUAAGCCGGGGGUCCACUGUAUUUGCUUCUUGUCUCCUUACCAUCCCUCAUGUGUUAUUGUGAGUAAGUCCAUUAUCUUAGAAUUAUUCUGACGAAUCGUGUGGUAUGCUAUAUCACCGAGUUGAUGGAUAGGACACACAAGUAUCACUUCUGUCAAGGCUGAGGGACUGAACACCUCAAAAUUACCUCUCCACUUUCUCUUCUGUCUCUAGUAAUAAAGUCACCUCUGUCUGUAUUUGACUGAAGAAGACUGCUGUGAAGGCUUAAUAUUUCAACUUUUUCUGUAAAAUUGGUUAACUGGUUAUGCUCCGACAAACCCAUUGUAAGUUGAAAAUAUCUUAGGUCAAAUAUGAAUGGUAUGCUAAAUAAAUAAAUAAAUAACUACCAUCACUUAAUAGGUAAACAAAUAAUUCUUUCUUUCAACACACCGGCCGUAUCCCACCAAGGCGGGGUGGCCCAAAAAGAAAAACGAAAGUUUCUCUUUUAAAUUUAGUAAUUUAUACAGGAGAAGGGGUUACUAGCCCCUUGCUCCCGGCAUUUUAGUCGCCUCUUACAACAUGCAUGGCUUACGGAGGAAGAAUUCUGUUCCACUUCCCCAUGGAGAAAACAAAUAAUUACUGUAAUUAAAUACUAGUAGUGAAAAUUAAAAAAUGAAUACAAGUUACAGACUUGCUGCCUUCAUGCUGGGCAUUUAUCUUAUCGACUUUACGAUGAUGCAUCAUCGUAAAGUUGACAUAUUGUAAUUCAAACCAUCAUAAGUUGAAGAGCACCUGUAUAGCAGAUUGUCAGUUAUCCAGGCCCCCCUGGGUAUGGGAAUAGGGAGGAUGUGCUGGGUUUUAAUUACCUGAUUAGCCGGGCUGUGGUUCAUACAUUGGAUUAUGCGAGGACAGCAGUAACAGCCUUGUUGAUCAGGCCUUGAUCCACCAUGAGACUUGGUCAAGGACUGGUCUGCAGGGGGCAUUGUCCCCUGGAAUGCCCUCCAGGUAUACUUCAAGUUAUCACAUCACCCUUUUCAUAGUCCCUUUUUUAAUCACAUAUUCAUUUUUAGCAUUAGAUUUCAGGGAGGGAUUUAUGAAGUGCUUGGGGGUUAUGACCCCCCCCCCUUCCCCUGGGCCACUGAUUAUUAUAAUCAAGGGGGAAGCGCUAAACCCGGAGGAUUAUACAGCGCCUGGGGGGGAUGUGGAAGGCAUUCAGGCUUAAUUCGGGGAGCUGGAGCACAGAUCCAAUUCCCUAAAUCAAGAGCCCCUCACCAACAUCAAGGAACCUUCCUUGAGGGGCCUGGGCCACUGAAAGGUUUUAUAUUCCUCAUUAAAUUUUUAUUACUGAUUGUUAUUACUCAUUAAAUUAUUAUAUGCAUAAAAAUUUCCUUGAUAUUUAAAACUGUGAAUUUGUGAGAAUAUUGCUUCUGCUUCCUCCCUGGAUAAUUCUUGGAUCCAUUAGUUAUCCAUUGAAGUGGCAGAUCGAACAUCAUGGCUGGAUAAUGUUAAACCUCCAAACAGCUGGAUUCCCGGAUAAUUGAUGACCCGCAGUAUAAAUUCUGAGGUGUCCUGUAAUUAGGUUGGUAGUGCACUCGACUCACUCACUGAGGUCCGUGGUUUGAUUCCUGGUACAAGUGGAAACAUUAGGACAUGUUUCCUUAAGACACCUGCUCUCCAUGUUCACUCAUCAGUGAACUUGGGUAUUAGUCGAGUGGCAUGGGUGGCAUCCUGGGAGACCAAAUUAACCUGAUUUGCCCGAAAUGCUCUGCAUAACCUGGGACUUUCUAUAUAGUAUGUCAUUGAUGUCUGCUAUGGUCUGUAUAAGUUGUAUCAUGUACUUAAAGAAAUAAAUUAGUCAAACCUCAGUUAUCGUAUGCCCUAGUUUUCGUGCGAUUCAGUUUUUGACGACUUUUUUCGUAGAAAUUUUGUCCCAGUUUUCAUACAUCCACUUGGUUUUUUGUACAGUUGAAAAUGGUCUGUACCAAACUCAUCUGCCUGCCCGCAUGACUCUGCCACUCAUUUCCUGGAAUUGAGCGCCCACACAAAGCAUCUCAUGCUUUCGUGACUCGGUCUGCCUUUGUUUCUUGUUGAGUGAGCAUCGCUCUGCGCAUCCAUCCAAAACAUUUCGUAAUAAUCCAUUGUUUUUUGUGCUUGUUUAUUGAGUGCAACUGCAAAAUAGGCACUUAAAACUAAGUGCUAAACCCACAAGGGUCAUAAAGCUCAAUAUAGAAAUAAAGAUUAUUAGUUAAAUAAGCAUGGUAAAAAUUAAAAUAACUUACACCUUCACUACAGUGUCAAUAAUAGCCAUACAAAGGAAAUUAUUAAAUGUAUAUUUUUUCAAACUUUUUCUUCUAAUAUUGCAUAUUAUACAGAACUUUAAUUACAAUAUCUUAAGUUUUACACAAAAAUUCAGACUGUCUUGAACUUUAUUUCUUAAAAAUAAUACUCUGGGAAAGCAUCAUUUUAUUUAGUAAUGUAAGUCAUUAAAAAAAUAUUGUAAUUGAUUUGUUUUCUGUUCCGCCAUAAAACAUAAACAUAGCAUCCUCGUUUAAGUUUCCUCUUUGUUUUUCGUUUAACACUUCAGUAAAUUGUAACUAUUAUAAAACAAGAUUUAAACCUGUGUGUGUGUGUGUGUGUGUGUGUGUUUUAUAUAUUAUAUAUAUAAUUAUAUACACACACACACUCGCAUACAUAUAUACAUACAUACAUUAAAACCCUCAGUAUAAGAGAAAUUUAUUGACAAAAUCCACAGAAUAAAUUUUACUUAGUUCCUUUAUUUUCAGUGUUUAUCACAGUAUCUGUAAAUUAUGUAUAUACUACUAUGUUAGAUGUACACUAUUGUGUUCACUGUACACUAGAGUACUUUACGACACUUUUCUUUUUCUCUUUUGCUAUUUUUAAUGUUAUUUUGAUUUAACGAACACUCAGAGAAUCUUGUUUAUUAGUCCAUUAUACAGAGGGUUUACUGUAUAUACAGUUAUAUUACAUUAGUACAGUAUUAUCACAUUGACAGCAUUAUCAAUCGUUAAUGGGAAUACCAUACAUGUUUACAUUAUUUAGUUCCACUGCCAUAUACAUUGAAAAUUUGUAUGUUACAAUUUGACUGGCAAAUGUUGCUGAAAGUUAUAGUUAAAGAAAGAGAGAGAGAAAGUUUGCAGUGAAAGUCUCGAUUCUGAUGACUUUUUUUUUCUCGGUGCUGAGUUUUAUUCUCUGGUACGACUUAGUUAUGUCAAAAACUUGAUCAUGAUCAGUAAAGAUUUUAAGUUUCUACUGGUAAAUAUAAAUGGUUGAGUUACCCUUAAAUUUAUUUGUGUUCAUUAGAAUAGACUUUUUCUGCAAACUAUCUAUCAUUAGUUUGAAAAAACUGGGGCAGCAGGAUGCUGGGUCUUUAGAAAAUAUCUGAUAAGAUUAAUGAAAAUGGGCAACUCCUAAAAAUUUGCCACAACAGUACAAGGACAUAAACAUCGGCAAAAUUGACCGUAUGUUAUUAUAUUUGUGGGAAGUGCUAAAUCUGCAUGAGUUGUCAGUGCAUGAGGUAUGGGAGGCAGUCAAGUUUGAUCCACAAAAGGGGAGAAUAGCUCCAUUUUCCUGGAUCAAGUUACAUUCAUCAACAUUGUCACCCCUUUUGAAGGGAAAUGAGCAUGCAGCUUAUCCAGUUAUAUACAGUGGACCCCCGCAUAACGAUCACCUCCGAAUGCGACCAAUUAUGUAAGUGUAUUUAUGUAAGUGUGUUUGUACGUGUAUGUUUGGGGGUCUGAACUGGACUAAUCUACUUCACAAUAUUCCUUAUGGGAACAAAUUUGGUCAGUACUGGCACCUGAACAUACUUCUGGAUUGAAAAAAUAUCGUUAACCGGGGGUCCACUGUAUCAUAUAUACUCGAGUAUAGCUCAAUGGUGAGUACAAGUCUACCCCGGACCUUUUUGCCAAAUAUUUUUCUCAUGUACGUAUCUAGUUUUUAAGGAACUUUAAAAGGGGCUAAAUGGUUCUGAUGCCAGAUAUAUUCUAGCAUAAA